UGUUUCCUUAGUUAAAUGGAUAUAACAGCCCCCUCCUAAGGGGCAGUUGAGGGUUCGAUUCCCCCAGGGAACGU
Molecule: transfer RNA, 74 nt
Filed under: Eisenbergiella tayi
Lineage: Bacteria; Bacillati; Bacillota; Clostridia; Lachnospirales; Lachnospiraceae
Also listed under: 1 other name
Description: tRNA-Arg
Rfam family: tRNA
About the family: Transfer RNA (tRNA) molecules are approximately 80 nucleotides in length. Their secondary structure includes four short double-helical elements and three loops (D, anti-codon, and T loops).
Source: RNAcentral